Triticum aestivum (bread wheat) is the source of this 3022-nucleotide long non-coding RNA. RefSeq lists it as uncharacterized. Lineage: Eukaryota; Viridiplantae; Streptophyta; Magnoliopsida; Poales; Poaceae. The record is from RefSeq and is a predicted model, not a curated record. The transcript is spliced from 5 exons.
ACGAAAAAAACCACGAGCGAGGCCUGCGGGGUGCCCUCGAGCGAGAACCACGCUAGCCGCCCUCGCACUCCAUCCCUUCUCCGCCGCCCUCGCGCUCGCAUCAAGGAUCGAGGCCUCAGAGUGCCCUCGAUCCCUGCACUACCUCCGUUCCGCGCCGCCGAUCCGUUCCCCGCCACCGAUCCCUUCGCCGCCGCCGAUAUCGUCGCUACGAUCCCCUUCAGGAGCCGCCGCCGAUCCCCUUCAGGAGUCGCCGCCGAUCCCCUUGAGGAGCCGCAGCCGAUCCCUUCGCCUGCCCGGCUAGGGUUCCCAUCCGUGUCCUCGCCCUUGCACCAUUACCAUCGCCUCGUUGCGGCGGUCCUCGUUGCUUCCCGAUCCAUCCGAGAUCCAUCCAAGCUGCCGGCGAACGCUUCCUGUGUGCAGAGCACAUAGUAGUUCUCAAAGGUCGCAUGACUCAGCAGCAAUGGACGCCUUAUCUGCUUGGGAAUGUGGCCGCACCAGAUUGGUAUCUUCUCUUCUGAAAUCCAAUAGCUGUUGUCCAAUUGUUUGCUGAUACGCUUGACUGAAUUUGCAAAGAGUUAUUAAGUCUUUAUUUGCGACUGAGUUUCUCAUAUUCUGAUUGAUGUGACUAAAAAGUAUUUUGUUGGACGGCAACUCUAAGCUGCAUGUUCAUUUGGAGAAGCAUGAUGAAUAUUCGAUGGACACUGUCAAAGAUGAAAAGGAGAAUUCUUCUAUUCUCCUGGCUGUCAGGGAUUUUGUACUUCCAGCAGGUUUUCCAGCUGAAUGUUGGCAUCCCGGUGUGGUUUGAUUAUGCAUCUAUGCAUUGCUUUUGCUAUUUGUCAUGGAGUAUGAACUGUGGAGGUUCAGGUUUAGUAUCUUGGAAAUGCAGUGAUUGAUGUGUUUUCUAAUUGUAAUGCAGUAAACAAACUGUUCUGCAAGUUUUGUACUUUAUUUUCUAGUACUGUUAAAUGUAGAGCUUGAUUUUGUAUAUGUAUUUCCCUCAGAUUCUUGAAGGUUCCUGCAUAAGAGGUCAUUGUUCCACAUUCUCUGUUGUCUCUCUUUAUAUUCCAGAAUCUGUUUCAGAUGAUUAUCUGCAGUACAUGCUAUUGGAAUUGCGAACAAAUGUGACAUGAUGGAUCUGUCACAUGUUCGUUACAUCAAGUCUUCUGAAGGUCCAGUCCAGCCGAGAAACAUAUACUCCAGUCCAACAUAUAUAGUCCAGUCACAUGCUUUAACGUGAUUUCACGAGCGGCAACUAGGCCAGCAACGGUGUGUCCGUAAAGAACGACAGCUAAAGGAAACCAAUCAGCUGUAGAGAAGUGGAGCAACAUUAGAGCAUGAGAAUGAGAUAGACUUUUCAGUGACAGGCAACCAUUGUGCUGUAGAGAAGUGGAGCAACAUUCAUGUCCUAGAGGGAUAAAGACACAUACAAUUACAAUGGAGGUGACAUGCCUGAAAAUGUGAGAAUUGAAGCAAUAUAUUCCCUGCUCUCUCCUUUUUUAAUCUUGAAGCCAGUAGGAGAGGCUCCUAAUGACAUGUAUACAUUACUAACAAGAAUAUGGGAGCUUUCAUAACUUGAGGUACCUUCCAUCUUCUUGUUGUGUAUUUAAUUUUCUUAGUUGAAAAUCUUACACCAAUAAGUGGGGUCUCUCUGAAAAUUGUCCUUGUUAUUCUCCUUUUCAUUCUUUGGGCUUUGUUUCUCAAUAUAUGCUUCCACUAAAAAAAGUGGAUCCGCCCCAUGUCGCCCCAGCGUCGGACAACUUAGGUGAAUCCACCCCCCCCACCCGGCCUCCGGGGUCGCCAUCUCCUCUCUCCCUUCCCACCAUCACCAUCGGGCUAAGGCCGGGCGGCCGACGGUGAUGGCGGAGGCUCCUCCCUUCGAUGCGUCGGUGGGUUGCGCAUAAUCUCCUGGCACGUGGAGUGUCGCCAAAACCUACUCCAGGGCGGCGACGCCCUCGGCUGGCGGUGCUCAUAAGUGGUGGAUGGACGGCGGCUUGACCGCGUGGGCGGUGAGUCGCCGAUGGAUCUCCCCACUGCAGCCUCUCUCCCGCUACACUCGGUGGCUUGCGGUCUUGGUAGCCGGCUCAGUGUGUUUGCAGGGGGCUUGUAGAAGUGGUUCGGACCGGAGGAAACUCUGGAUGGCUCGCUCAUCCCGACGGUGGCGACGACCAAGGUCGCCGCUCUCCUCCUUGCAGGCGCCGUUGAGGUCCCCCCCUCCACCCGACUCCAUGCCGGGCUAAAGACCCAAAAUCUCCUUUGAUUGGGCGGCGACACUGUGUGGCAUUUGGCACGUUGACAACGGCGGGUCUCUUCGGCAGCCGAUCCCUUCGCCUGCCCGGCUAGGGUUCCCAUCCGUGUCCUCGCCCUUGCGCCAUUACCAUUGCCUCGUUGCGGCGGCCCCCGUUAAUCACCACCAUCAGCAAAUCCCAACACAUGCCGAAGCCGUCCAGCACCAACCUGCGCUCCUUCCUAGAUCCAUGACGGAGACCACAGUCUAGAGGGAUCCACGAUCGCGACAAUGAAAAUGGCACCCAAGUCGUGCACCCGUGCCCACUCCAAGCCUUUCCUCUGGAUGCGACACACAGGAUCGGCGGAGCACCACCGAGCGUAGCACCGACCACGACCUCCAUUUUUCUUUGUGGUCUAGAGAAAAUAUUUUGCCAGAGCUCUCCUAGCGCGUCCACUUUCUUCCGUGGCCAGCAGCAUCGACAAAAAAUCUCGGCACUUAGGGUGAGAUAGACAAGCAUGAUUUUCCUUUUUGUGAUGAUAUUUGCAUUCCAGGAGUAGUUCUUGCUUCAUGAGAUUUUGCUUAUGUUUAUUUUCAGAUUUCAGGACUGACCUAGAGGAAAUGAUUAGUACUUUGAGCCGAUCGUGAACCUGUGGUAGUUGAUAUGCGUGAUUGUUCUGCUCUGCUUAUCAACUAGCGAUGCCUUGAUUUUAAUGUGGCCCCUAACUUAUGAACUCUUAGUCUGGAAACUACAGUUAUUUAGCGGUUAAUUAUAACUUUUAAGAAUGGUUACCUUGA